UAUAUUCAUGCCUUUUCGUCUCAGGUGCACAUUGUUUUUGGCGUCUCGUCCUUUCUUGCGGAUUCUUGUUGACUGCUUGUCUUUCAUCUGAAGAAUGAGAGCGGAAAGCUUUCGCUGUCAGUGAGCGUGACGUCUGUUCGUUUUCCAUCACGGGAGGGCCAUUGUUUGUCUCUUGUGCGAGUUUUCGCUUCGACGGUUCUUGUCCACGUUCCCCAGGAUUCGCUUGGCUCCUGCGCGUCCGCUCUCUGUCUCUCUCUCGCCUGCUCACGCCUCCUUUCUUCACUUUGACUGGCCUCGGCGUCUGCGGCUCUUCGACUUCUUCUUUGGGCGUCUCCUCGAAACAGGGAAGCAACCGAGCGCCUCGCCGCAGCCACCCACUCUCGGGUGUACGAACGCGUUCGCAGGGCGCGCGCAAAGUCGCGGACUCCUGACGGGCACUCUGCCUCUGCCUGGACUGCUCCCGCGCGUCUUGGUUUCUGUUUUCAGUGCGUGGAGGUCGAUCUGUGCAUUCGCGACUCGCCUUGGAAACGGUCGCCUGUUCCGGCAGAGGAGACGCCCUUGACGACGCUGUGUCCCCCAGCUCUCC
RNAcentral lists this long non-coding RNA (586 nucleotides) under Toxoplasma gondii VEG. The record is from RNAcentral. Lineage: Eukaryota; Apicomplexa; Conoidasida; Eucoccidiorida; Sarcocystidae.